RNAcentral lists this ribosomal RNA (559 nucleotides) under uncultured Sphingobacteriales bacterium. RNAcentral describes it as "bacterial SSU rRNA". It matches the Rfam family "Bacterial small subunit ribosomal RNA", at positions 93 to 649 of the family's 1533-position model. Lineage: Bacteria; Pseudomonadati; Bacteroidota; Sphingobacteriia; Sphingobacteriales. The record is from RNAcentral.
GACCGGCAAACGGGUGCGGAACACGUACGCAACUUUCCCAAAACUGGUGAAUAGCCCUCCGAAAGGAGGAGGAAUACACCGUAACAUAAUGAAGUGGCAUCACUUGAUUAUUAUAGCUCCGGCGGUUUUGGAUGGGCGUGCGCCUGAUUAGGUAGUUGGUAGGGUAACGGCCUACCAAGCCAACGAUCAGUAACUGGUGUGAGAGCACGACCAGUCACACGGGCACUGAGACACGGGCCCGACUCCGUACGGGAGGCAGCAGUAAGGAAUAUUGGUCAAUGGACGAAAGUCUGAACCAGCCAUGCCGCGUGAAGGAUGAAGGCCCUCUGGGUUGUAAACUUCUUUUAUAGGGGACGAAAAAAGGGAAUUCUUUCUCACUUGACGGUACCCUAGGAAUAAGCACCGGCUAACUCCGUGCCAGCAGCCGCGGUAAUACGGAGGGUGCAAGCGUUAUCCGGAUUUACUGGGUUUAAAGGGUGCGUAGGUGGGCAAUUAAGUCAGCGGUGAAAUCUCCGGGCUUAACCCGGAAAUUGCCAUUGAUACUAUUUGUCUUGAAUUA